This 77-nucleotide transfer RNA is filed under the name Candidatus Methanomethylicus mesodigestus. Its description in RNAcentral is "tRNA-Lys". It matches the Rfam family "tRNA". Rfam says of the family: Transfer RNA (tRNA) molecules are approximately 80 nucleotides in length. Their secondary structure includes four short double-helical elements and three loops (D, anti-codon, and T loops). Lineage: Archaea; Thermoproteati; Thermoproteota; Methanosuratincolia; Candidatus Methanomethylicales; Candidatus Methanomethylicaceae. RNAcentral also lists the same sequence under 8 other names. The record is from RNAcentral.
GGGCCCGUAGCUCAGUACGGUAGAGCAGCGGGCUUUUAACCCGUUGGUCUCGGGUUCAAAUCCCGACGGGCCCGCCA